GUCGAGACGUGCUUUUCGUCGGGCGGUGCUGGGUUUAGCUAACGUGACGGCGUAUGAGUGGUAAUUGGGUUGUAUCCGACGGCAGGCUCCGUGCUUCGGCAUCGAACUGUCGGCUCGUACCCCGCUUCAGUGAUGCGUCAAAGAUCUGUCUUGCGCGCAAGAUGGGUUUCUGUUUUGGCUACCUAUUGCGAAGGAAUGCUGCCUAUUGUCGUCCCUUUCCUCCUCUCGCUGGCCUUGUCGGUGGGAGGACGACAUCGUAGCGGUGCUCGUGUCCCGGACAAGCCGCACUCGUUGCGAUGCAGUUUCGGUGCUCGAGUCUCCGCUCGACAUCUCGGAUGCGGAACACCAAAGGGGCGGUGGGUCUUUACGGCCUCCGAUCGUCCGCUCGAAGCCUUGUCGCUUGACGCGUACGACUGCCGUGCCCGUCGCGGGACGGCGACCGUCAAGGUCGUCCGUCUGGCGCGGCGCCGGCGUCGAAGAGGAAUGC
This 487-nucleotide unclassified non-coding RNA is filed under the name Pourthiaea zhejiangensis. Its description in RNAcentral is "external transcribed spacer". The record is from RNAcentral. Lineage: Eukaryota; Viridiplantae; Streptophyta; Magnoliopsida; Rosales; Rosaceae.